UCGAAUUCAGUUGGAACUGGCUCAGGUUAAAGCUGACAUCGACCGAAGAAUCCAUGAGAAAGAAGAAGAAUUUGAGGCUACCAGGAAGAACCACCAGCGGGCAAUCGAGUCCUUGCAGGCCAGCCUAGAGGCAGAGGCCAAGGGCCGGGCAGAGGCACUUCGGCUCAAGAAGAAGAUGGAGACGGACCUGAAUGAGAUGGAAAUCCAGCUGGACCAUGCCAACAAGAACAACAGCGAACUUGUAAAGACAUUGAAAAGGCUGCAACAGCAAAUCAAGGACCUGCAGGUCCAGAUGGACGAGGAUGCCAGGCAGCACGAGGAGCUGCGGGAGCAGUACAACCUGCAGGAGCGGCGCUUGAGCCUGCUGCAGACGGAGCUGGAGGAGGUGCGCUCAGCCCUGGAGGGCAGCGAGCGUUCACGCAAGCUGUUGGAGCAGGAAGUGGUGGAGAUCACCGAACGGCACAACGAGAUCAACAUCCAGAACCAGAGCCUCCUUGUGGUCAAACGCAAGCUGGAGUCAGAUGUCCAGCGCAUCUCCAACGAGCAUGAGGAGCUCAUCAGUGAGUUCCGCUCGACCGAAGAGAGGGCCAAGAAGGCCAUGAUGGACGCUGCCCGCAUGGCAGAAGAACUCCGGCAAGAGCAGGACCACUGCAUGCACCUGGAGAAGAUCAAGAAGAACUACGAGGUCACCAUCAAAGACCUGCAAGCCAAGAUGGAGGAGGCCGAGCAGCUGGCUCUGAAAGGCGGCAAGCGAACGAUCAUGAAGCUGGAGGCCAGGAUCAAGGAACUAGAGACAGAGCUGGAUGGGGAACAGAAACAGCACGCGGAGACAGUCAAGACACUGCGUAAGAAUGAGCGUCGCCUCAAAGAGCUGGUCUUCCAGACAGAGGAGGACCACAAGACCAAUCAGCGCAUGCAGGAGCUGGUGGAGAAGCUUCAGAACAAGCUGAAGGUCUACAAGAGGCAGAUUGAGGAGGCGGAGGACCAGGCCAACCAGACCUUGGCUCGAUACAGGAAGACGGUGCAUGAGCUGGAUGACGCUGAGGAGCGGGCUGGCAUGGCAGAGACUGCCCUAAACAAGCUGCGCACCAGACACCGCGUGGCCGGCAAGGGCAUCACCUCUGUGGAGAUCAUCCAGGUGUCCAAGACAGGCACCUCGAAAACCCUUUCUGAGGAGUGAGGCCCUCCGUGUCCUAGGCCACAACCGGGUAAUACAGAUCUCAACUGCAGUCCAUUGAGAGGGAGAAAAUAUGAAAAUGGAAAACGGGGUCUGUCCUGAGAAUGUUUACUAUGCAAAAGAAAGUGCAAGCCAGGAAGAGACAGGUGGUGAAGAAUAAAGAGCGCUAUGGUGGAAAAUGAGCUUGAGAAUGUAAAACCCGCCAUUAGAGGAAUGAAAAUGAGUGGGGCUUCUCUGGAACGGCAGUAAGCAUUUGGAUGACAGUAAUGAUGGAUCUGUUUCAGUUGAGUUCCUACAUGUUCAUGUCAAGGACGGAAUAUGUAAUGUCUGUGACCCGGCUGUUCUCUACAAAGAAUUCCUCAUGUUGACAAUGUUAAUGUCCCAAUAUAGCUUAAAUAAAAGAAACAUUAAAAAAAUAGACC
RNAcentral lists this small RNA (1599 nucleotides) under Pan troglodytes (chimpanzee). Its description in RNAcentral is "processed transcript". Lineage: Eukaryota; Metazoa; Chordata; Mammalia; Primates; Hominidae. The record is from RNAcentral.